RNAcentral lists this ribosomal RNA (425 nucleotides) under uncultured bacterium. RNAcentral describes it as "partial 16S ribosomal RNA". It matches the Rfam family "Bacterial small subunit ribosomal RNA", at positions 354 to 796 of the family's 1533-position model. The record is from RNAcentral.
GUGGGGAAUCUUGCGCAAUGGGCGAAAGCCUGACGCAGCCAUGCCGCGUGGAUGAUGAAGGUCUUAGGAUUGUAAAAUCCUUUCACCGGUGAAGAUAAUGACUGUAGCCGGAGAAGAAGCCCCGGCUAACUUCGUGCCAGCAGCCGCGGUAAUACGAAGGGGGCUAGCGUUGCUCGGAUUUACUGGGCGUAAAGGGCGCGUAGGCGGACAUUUAAGUCAGGGGUGAAAUCCCGGGGCUCAACCUUGGAAUUGCCUUUGAUACUGGCUGUCUUGAGUUUGGGAGAGGUGAGUGGAACUCCGAGUGUAGAGGUGAAAUUCGUAGAUAUUCGGAAGAACACCAGUGGCGAAGGCGACUCACUGGCCCAAUACUGACGCUGAGGCGCGAAAGCGUGGGGAGCAAACAGGAUUAGAUACCCGAGUAGUCC